This 301-nucleotide ribosomal RNA is filed under the name uncultured bacterium. Its description in RNAcentral is "partial 16S ribosomal RNA". It matches the Rfam family "Bacterial small subunit ribosomal RNA", at positions 509 to 807 of the family's 1533-position model. The record is from RNAcentral.
CAGUAGCCGCGGUAAUACGAAGGGUGCAAGCGUUACUCGGAAUUACUGGGCGUAAAGCGUGCGUAGGCGGCUUUUUAAGUCGGAUGUGAAAUCCCUGAGCUUAACUUAGGAAUUGCAUUCGAUACUGGGAAGCUAGAGUAUGGGAGAGGAUGGUAGAAUUCCAGGUGUAGCGGUGAAAUGCGUAGAGAUCUGGAGGAAUACCGAUGGCGAAGGCAGCCAUCUGGCCUAAUACUGACGCUGAGGUACGAAAGCAUGGGGAGCAAACAGGAUUAGAUACCCGUGUAGUCCCUGUCUCUUAUAC